AUGACUGAAUUGAGCAAGUCUUGGAGAAGCCUGGGUCGGAAGCACAGGCAGGAUCCACUGCCUGCAAAAGGGGGGGCACCCAGUGAUCACAAGGUGCAGGUGGGCCCUGGCAGGCAGGGCCCAAGAGCGAGGGGAGAUGGGAAGCACUUCCCUCACAGGAGCAGCCAGGAGGGUGGAACGCAAACAGCAAGUGACAGGAAGCUUGUGGUCCCCAAGGCAGCAAGCUCUUUCAGGGAGCUUGGCACCACCUCAGACUUCUCUUGGGCUGGGUAAGAUGUUGCAAAAAUACCUGGAGAAAGCUCAUGGGAGCCUCAUCAGAAAAUAAAAUCAAAAGAUCACAGGCCCUUGGACUAUGGGAAGAGGGGAGGAAGGGGAGAGGAGAAGGCAGAGGCUUGGCUGAGUCAGGCCUGCUGGGCUGGGUGUGGAGAGAGGAGUCAGGACUCAAAUGGCCACCAUGAAUCCUCCUCCACACCUGACUCAUUCUGGGACCUUCCCCAACUUACAGGGCCAUUGGAGCCCACCCCCCACCAUCUCCUCAGAUGUGCAAUGGAGAUCUUAUCCACUACAAAAAGUCUUUGUGAGGAUUAACAAGGGAAUAUAAGGCACUGAAAAAAAAGGGUAUUGUAUCUUAAUGAAAACAUAAAGAGUUUUUCACGGUUCCAUUGCUGGAUUCAUCAUGCUGGGACUCCCAUUCCUCUACAUCCCCGUAAAGGUAAUGGAAAAGACAGGAAAAGAGGAAGGGAAAUAACACACUUCACAUUAUGCCAAGUUUAUCAUGAACCAAUAUCCAGGAACAGUUAGAAAAGCAAGCAUGAAGCGAGUGAGCAAGUAAAAUCAACCACUCUGGAGGAAGAGAAACCUGCAGUGGGUCAAGAUGUCAUUCUUAGGCCUAUAGUCCAGUGAGGGUAAAGCCCAUUGUAUGGGGCUGCAAAACAUGCUGAACACUUGGUAUUUCUUCUUCAGACAGUAUCCCCAUCUCAACUGGCUUAGCACAGUCCCUGGCUAUAGAACCCAUUCCCUGCUGAGAUUCCAUACUUAAAACUUAAACAUCUUAAUUUUAGAAGACUCCCAAA
This 1073-nucleotide long non-coding RNA is filed under the name Capra hircus (goat). RNAcentral describes it as "lncRNA (ENSCHIG00010001628.1)". The record is from RNAcentral. Lineage: Eukaryota; Metazoa; Chordata; Mammalia; Artiodactyla; Bovidae.